AGUGAACGCUGGCGGUAGGCCUAACACAUGCAAGUCGAACGGCAGCACAGUAAGAGCUUGCUCUUACGGGUGGCGAGUGGCGGACGGGUGAGGAAUACAUCGGAAUCUACUUUUUCGUGGGGGAUAACGUAGGGAAACUUACGCUAAUACCGCAUACGACCUACGGGUGAAAGCAGGGGAUCUUCGGACCUUGCGCGAUUGAAUGAGCCGAUGUCGGAUUAGCUAGUUGGGGGGGUAAAGGCCCACCAAGGCGACGAUCCGUAGCUGGUCUGAGAGGAUGAACAGCCACAAUGGAACUUGGAAACGGUCCAGACUCCUACGGGAGGCAGCAGGGGGGAAUAUUGGACAAUGGGGGCAAGCCUGAUCCAGCCAUACCGGGUGGGUUAAGAAGGCCUUCGGGUUGUAAAGCCCUUUUGUUGGGAAAGAAAAGCAGCAGGUGAAUACCCCGCUGUUCUGACGGUACCCAAAGAAUAAGCACCGGCUAACUUCGUG
This 492-nucleotide ribosomal RNA is filed under the name uncultured bacterium. RNAcentral describes it as "partial 16S ribosomal RNA". It matches the Rfam family "Bacterial small subunit ribosomal RNA", at positions 29 to 507 of the family's 1533-position model. The record is from RNAcentral.